CCAGGCAAGUGCACAACUGCUGAGCCCCAGCCCCAGCCCUUUAUUUUUUAUUUUGAGACAGGGUCUCACUAAGUUAGUUAGGGCCUCACUAAGUUGAUGAGGCUGGCUUUGAACUCAUGAUCCUCCUGAGCUACUGGAAUUAUAGGUAUGCACCAUUGUUCCCAACUGUAUUAUAUACAUUAAAAUCUUUAUAUAUAAAAUUUUAUGGUUUUUAAAAUCUGUACUCAUGAGAGAUACUAAUCUGAAUUUUUCUUUGUAAUGUCAUUGACUGGUUUUGGUCUCAGAGUUAUAUUGGCUUAAUAAAACUGGUUGGAAGUUCCCACCUCUACAUCCUGAAAGAUCUAUAAAAUUGGCAUUUUUUUCCCUUAAUAAUAAGAAAAUUAUUGGCAUUAUUUUUUCUUAAUAAUAAUAAUAAAUGUUUACCCAGCGGCUGGGGUGGUUGAAGCAGGAGGAUCGCAAGUUCAAAGCCAGCCUCAGCAACAGCAAGGUACUAAGCAACUCAGUGAGAUCCUCUCUCUAAAUAAAAUAAAAAGUAGGUUUUGGGAAGUGGCUUAGUGGUCAAGUGCCCCUGAGUUCAAUCCCCGGUACAAAAAAAAAAAAAAAGUUUAAUAGAAUUCACCUGUGAAACCACCUGGUGAAUUCUUCAUAGGAAUUCACCUGGGCCUGUGUAUUUAUGGGAAGAUUUUUCAUAAUAAAUGCAAUUUUUUCCACUGGAACUAGGAAAUUGAACCCAGGGACAUUCUACCACUGUGCUAUAUUAUAAAAAUAUAAUAUAUUUUUCUUUUGAGACAGGGUCUCACUAAGUUACUUAGGGUCUCACUAAGGUGCUGAGGUUGACAUUGAAGUUGCAGUCCUCCUACCUCAGCCUCUUGAGUCACUGGGAUUAUAGGUAUCAGCCACUAUAUCAGCUAGUGAUAUGCUUGUAAGGAUUAGAAUCACACACACACACACACACACACACACACACACAGAGAGAGAGAGAGAGAGCCAGAAAUAAAAAGACAAAUAUUAUAAUGAUUUCUUAUAAUACAAUACCUAGAAUAAGCAAAUGCCAAAAAAAAAAAAAAAAAAGUAGGAGUUACCAAGAAGCUGACUAGAAGGGUCAAUGGGUAGUUGUUGCUUAAUGGGUACAGUUUUUAUUAGGGUGAUGAAAAAGUUUUGGAAAUAGUAGUCAUGAUUACGAAACACUGUGAGUAUGGGCUGGGGAUAGCUCUUUGGCAGAGUGCUUGCUAGCAUCCUGGAGGCUCUGGGUUCAAUCCCUGCCCUGUAAAACAAACAAACCACUAUGAAUAUAAUUAAUGCCACUAAGUUUUAACCACUGAAAAAUGGUUAAAGUGGCAAUUUUUUUUACAUAUUUUUUUAAACACAUAUUAAAAAAAAAAAAAAGACUGUGAUGGCAGUUAUACAGAACUAGGCUAUCCGUUAAGUUUACUGAAGUAAUGCAGAUUAAAGAUCAUCUUCAGUUUGCUUUCCAGGUACAUUUCUUCUCCACCCUGCUCUGUGCACCUGCUGACCUGCACUGACUGACUAACAGGCUCCUAGGCCCUGUGGCUUCUGGAUGAAUUUUGCCAGUGUCACAAAUAAUCAGAGGGUGAGAGAUGAGUGAGAUCAGCAUAUUGGUGUAUUUCCCUCCUCCCAAUCUUCAGGUUGUUGUAGGCUGCUAUAUCCUUUAACCAAAAGUCAGAGCUCCUAUCAAGUAGCCUCUCCACUAAGUUCUUUCUUUCUUUCCAUUUCCACAAAGAGGCCCCCUUCUGCAUUGUUGUUUUCCACUACACUAAUUUAUUUGUUUAAUAAUUAAGGUUUUCCAUGAAUUACCUAAUUUGAAUGUACUAUGAAUACCCUGCCUUAGAACAGGGUGGGCAUACCAGAGAGAGCAGAAUCUAUUUGGUUGAGGUGCAAAUAGAUUGGAUAUUGUGGCAGGCAUGGCCCCUGGAACUGAGAAAAGUUCUUAUCCAUAUUUAUAUAGCCUCUAUAUCUAUAUAUUUUCAGAUGGGUUCUUGCUAUGUUGCUCAGGCUGGCUUUGAACUACAGGGUUCAAGUGAUCCUUCUGCUUCAGCCUCCCAAGUAGCUGAGGCUAUAGAUGUGCACCACCAUGCGUGGAUUUAGAAAAUUUCUUAUAAAUUGGGAGAGACAAGAAAUACCGUCUAGAAAAAAACAUAAGGUUGAUACUCAAUUAAUAGUAAAAUUCAUCUAUAAACUCAAGGUCCAAAAAGUGGGAAACAGGAGAUAGGCACAGUGGCACACACCUGUAAUCCCAGUAGCUGGGGAGUCUGAGGCAGGAGGAUCACAAGUUCAAAGCCAGCCUCAGCAACUUAAGGAGGCCCUAAGCAACUCAGUGAAACCCUAUCUCUAUUUUUUUUUUAAAGAGAGAGAGAAUUUUAAUAUUUAUUUUUUUUUAGUUUUCGGCAGACACAACAUCUUUGUUUGUAUGUGGUGCUGAGGAUCGAACCUGGGCCGCAUGCAUGCCAGGCGAGCGCGCUACCGCUUGAGCCACAUCCCCAGCCUGAAACCCUAUCUCUAAAUAAAAUACCCAAAGGGCUGGGGAUGUGGCUCAGUGGUUAAGUGCCUUUGGGUUUAAUCGCUGAUACCAAAACAAACAAACAAGUAAAACAAACAAAAAAUGUUGGAAGGUGGUAUCUACUCCAAGUACGAAUCCAUCUAUUUCCCUAUCUUGGGGACAGAAUAUACUGUUUUCCAAAUUCUCAGAUAUGCAGGAAGGAGGUUGGAGGGAAUUAACUGGUUUUUACGGAGUAACCAGAAAACAAGUAUCUCAAGGAAGCAGUAGAAAUAGGGGUUCUUGGAAAUGAUCCCAGAAGAGAGGUGUAACUGAUUGGGUGAAAUGUCAGGAUAUAUAGAGUGAGAUGCAAUGACUUAUGUUCUCAGCCAGUGAUCCAGGAAUAAAUGAGAACAGGAGGUCAUGCUGGCACCCAAGCCUCAGGGCUUAUGAAGCAACACCCUGUUACAUUAUUUGCAGCUGUCCUCCUAUACCCAUUUCCUCCCUGAAGCCUUGUGCAGAGUGAAAAAGGGAAGAUUUCUCCAUCAUGUAACCCCCAACAAUUUCCACAUUUUCCCUCAUUCUCCUAAAGGCUUCUCUCCCUCCCUGGUUCUCCUAGCUGCUAAAAGUCACACAUCAAACUACACCCCUGGCAGGAGACAGAAUAUCUGUAGUAGAGGUAUUACCAGACUUCCUGGGUCAGACUGGAAACACUUUGUGGCCUAUCUGAUUUAUUUCCCUUUGUUUCAACCCAGGAAACUGAUUAGGAUUUAACUCCUACAGCAUGAUGCUUAGGUUUUGGACCACUGGAUCCUUCUCUGGGGCCUUUUAGUUGCUUCAGACUUUCAGACCAAGGCCUCUUGAAUGGGUAUGGCCAAUAUAAUAGUACAUUUUGUCUUGUCACACUGACUUUACUCCUACAAGAGGCUCCUACAAGAUGUGCUCCAUCUUCUAUUUUCUUCCAUGCUGCCAGGAUCCAGGCACUCCUUAGGCUGUCACAGCUUCUGGCUAGCUGUGUGUCUGAGAUAGAUAACCAAACUUGUGUGUGCUUUAACUUGUUAUUAUCAAGUUCUUAGACAAUGCCAGGCACAUGGCCAAACUCAGUAAAUGUUAAAUAUUGCUAUUAUUAUAUUAUAUUUAAAAAGUACCAGUAUGUUCAUGUAAUUGGCAUGACCUGUUUCACCAAAUUUAAGUCUAAAAAAUGAUCACAUUUUUCUUUCUUUUUAACAUUCUAAGUCAAAAUUCGUUUUAUUUAUUUAUUUAUUUUUGCAGUACUAGAGAUUGGUCCCAUGAAUGUUCUAUCACUGAGCUAAAUCCCCAGUUCUUUUUAUUUUUUAUUUUGAAACAGAAUCUUGCUGAAUUGUCAAGGCUGGCCUGGAACUUGGGAUCCUCCUUCCUCAGUAUCCUGAGUACCUGGGAUUAUAGAUGUGUGCUACUGCACCUAGCUUCAGUUUAUUUUUAUAUUGGUUUUAUUCUACUUAGUCAUAUAUUCCUUAAAUAGGUGAUAUGGACACCCAUAAAAAUUCUAGGGAAAUUAAAAGGCCCACCACUUCUCUCAGCUAUAUAAUUUCCCUCUGUAUGGCCAGCCUUCUUCCUAAUUACUUCCAUAAAUUUAAGUGAUAAUCAAUGCAACUAGAGAUACUAACAGGUUUUUUUUCUUGUACAAAACUAAUUGUAAUAAUAUAUCUUUGAGAGUUUUUCAAGUCAGUCCUUUACAUUGCCUAAUUCUUCCAUUUAUUUAUUUAUGUUUUAUUUUUUGGUAUUGGGGAUUGAACUCAGGAACGCUUUACCGCUGAGCUACAUCCCCAUCCAUUUUUAUUUAUUUAUUUAUUUAUUUAUUUAUUUAUUUGGGGGUACUGGGAAUUGAAAUCAGGGGCACUCGACCACUGAGCCACAUUCUCAGCCCUAUUUUGUAUUUUAUUUAGAGACAGGAUCUCACUGAGUUGCUUAGUGCCUUGCCAUUGCUGAGGCUGGCUUUGAACCAGAUCCUCCUGACUCAGCCUCCUGAGCUACUGGGAUUACAGGCAUGUGCCACCAUACCUAGCCCAUUUUGAGAGAGGGUAUUGCUAAGUUGCUGAGGUUGGCCUCUUAACUUGAGAUCUGCCUGCUUCAGUCUCCCCAGUUACUGGGAUGAUAGGCUAUGCCACCACAGCUGGCAGUUCUUCCUUAAAAAAAGAAAUUUCCCAGGGCCGGGGUUGUGGCUCAGUGGCAGAGCACAUGCCUGUCAUGUGUGAGGUACUGAGUUAAAUUUCAGCACCACAUAUAAAUAAAUAAAUUAAAUUAAAGUCUGCCUACAACUAAAAAAAGAAGGCUUAAAACAUUUCCUCUAAGUCUAUUUAGGUAUAAUUGUCAUAAAAUAAAAUCCAUUCAUUUUAGAUGUACAGUUUGAUAAGCUGUAUAAUGUCACAUAACCCCCACAACAAUAAAAAUAAAAAAUGUGGGCUGGAAUUGUGGCUCAGCGGUAGAGCACUUGCAUAGCAUGUGCGAAGCCCUGGGUUUGAUCCUCAGCACCACGUUAAAAAAUAAAUAAAUAAAUAAAUAAAUAAAAGACAUUAUGUCUAGGGACUGGGGUUGUGGCUCAGAGGCAGAUCACUCGCCUAGCAUGCAUGAGGCACUGGGUUCUAUCCUCAGCACCACAUAAAUAUAAAAUACAGUAUUGUGUCCAACUACAACUAAAAAAUAAAUAUUAAAAAAAAUUAAAAAAUAAAAUAAAAAUGUUUCCAUCACCCUAAGAAUAGGUUUCCUUUUGCCCCAAUCAUUUUCUUACACUUGUUCCCAAAAUAGUACUUGACUUUACAAAAAUAUGACCUACCACGAAUACGAGGAAAAAGUAUGUUCAAGGUAACUAAGCACCUUUUACACUUAGCUCUAGGUAACCAUUGACCUGCUUUCUGCCACUAUGGCUGUUUUUCUAGAAUUUCAUAUAAAAGUAAUCAUACAAUAUGUUGUCAUUUUUUGCUUUACUUCUUUCACUUAACCUAGUGUUUUGGAGUUUCAUUCAUGUUGUUGCAAGAAAAAUAUCUCAUUCCUAUUUAGUGCAAAGUAGUAACUGAUUGUAAAGAAAUUGUUCUUUCCAGUUGCAGGAUAUUUUGGUUGGUUUAUAGUUAGGGCCUAUUAUAAAUAAUGUAUCCAUUAGUCUUUGUGUGGGCAUAUGUUCUCAUUUGUUCUUGGGUACAUAUGUAAGAGUGGAAUUUCUGGGUCAUAUGCUAAGUGCAAGUUUACUUUUAUAAGGCACUGCCAAAAUGUUUCCCAAGUGCUUAUACCAUUUUGCAAUCUCACCUACAAUGUAUUGGUGUUCCAGUUUCUUGAUUCUCUUCCUGCCCUUAUUCUUUUCAAAAGAUGGAAUGUAAUUACUGGUCAAAAAGAGCAAUUGAGCAAAUAUGUCAACUGUUGACAAUUGGUGAAUAUGAAUAAAGAAUACUGAUGUUCAUUUUAUUAUUAUUUUAAUGAA
RNAcentral lists this long non-coding RNA (5945 nucleotides) under Marmota monax (woodchuck). The stretch from base 4686 to 4753 matches the Rfam family "tRNA". The record is from RNAcentral. Lineage: Eukaryota; Metazoa; Chordata; Mammalia; Rodentia; Sciuridae.